Molecule: long non-coding RNA, 4595 nt
Organism: Pipistrellus kuhlii (Kuhl's pipistrelle)
Lineage: Eukaryota; Metazoa; Chordata; Mammalia; Chiroptera; Vespertilionidae
Exons: 2
Source: RefSeq, a predicted model, not a curated record
UUGCUUUUUUAUUCCAGUUACCUGGAAUGACCUUGAGCCAGGAUCACUCUGGUGACAAAUACACUGAUUUUAAUAUUUAACUUGUUUUUACUAUUCUACUUCAUAGACCCAGUGGGUUCUUUUUAUCCUUAGCACCUUCAUCAUUAAUUGCCACAUACAUAUUCUCCAGCCAGGUAAGCCCUGCACCAAAGUUCCUUUUGCUUAUGUCAAUUGCAGCAUCCUAACCUUGUCCUCUUUAGCCUCAACUUUCAGAUAUCCUUGGAGUUCUGACUAGCAAAGCUCUCUUCCCACUCAUUGCCGGGAAAACAAAGUUCAAUGGUGCAGCUUCUCCUGUGAGCCACUCUCAUCUUUUCUUUUCCAAAACAACACAUUAAUCCAAAAGCAAACAGUUACUCCCCAGUAAAUUUGAGAAACAUGCACCCUCCCCUCUCUAUCCUGUAUUUUCAGACUAGGGAUGUGUACACAUGUGCUCACAAACACACCCACAUGGAGAUAGAAAAGAUUGGGAGAUGGUAAUACACAUGGACCCUGAACUGUUUUCUUCUGACUGCAAGAUAAGGGGAAAUCUCGGGACUUCUCUUUCGAGAGUGCUUUUCCCUUCUACAUGUGGGUUCAGCUCAGGCCAGAGCAAGCUGCCAAUCUCGCAGGACAAUCAAGUCCCAUCUCAUUUUAUCCCUCAGCGUUUCCUGGUGAAGGUACUUCGAUUUCCAAAGCAAUGAUGGUUUGCAGUGUGACAGCAAUGACUUUUUUCAAUAGGAAAUUCAGUGCUUCAACUUUUCUAGUUCUAGCUUUUUCUUAGUCCUGUGGAACUUUGAUGUAUGCAUAAUCUUCGGGUUUUGGCACUCAUAUUUAAUGUUAGUGCCUGAAAUCAUCUGAGGGUACAGCUCUUUCCCCAGACAUCCAUUCUUCUUUUCAAACUGGCCUCCGGCAGGGUUCUUCUGCACAUUGCGUCAAUUGUUCCCCAGACUUGGAACCUGACUUAAACACUUGUCACACUAAUACAGAUUCCCUUUCUCCUGCCCCCUCCAAAUUCUCACUUUCUGCACUUUCCUCUCUUCAUAAGACAGAAAAAUACAUCUAAACAGAGGUAUGUAAACUUCUUUUAUUUCCUCCAGAUAAACUCUUCUUCCCUAUGACAAGGUAUGAAAUGGCAUAUAUGAAUGAUGAGAAUUCCUAAACUUAGUUUAUCCCAUACAAUUCAAGAAAUGGUUCAUGCUCCCUAAUCCCCUGGUUUGUUACGACACUUACUGGAUACGCAAAUAGCAGAAACCAUUUCACAUUGAGGGAAACAGGAAUGGCAAAGUGACAAUCACUGCCUUACGUUACAAACUGAGCAGUAACAGCAAAAAAAAAAAAAAAAAAAAAAAAAAAAAAAAAGACUGACCACUUUGCAGUUACCUCAGCAGAACCUCAUUGCACCUGAUUUAUUACUGAGGCCCCUGCGGAAGACCUUAGCUCCCACCUUCUGCAUCCCUCGGGUGACUUAAACAGGACUCCUAUUUAACUACCAUGAACAAAAUAAUUACCUGUACAUGAUUUUAAAAAUGUUAUAUUGUGCUUAACUCUAUGAGGAUAAAAAGUAAUUAAGUGGGUUGAGAUUUGCUACAUAUUUUCACUACUCAGAUAAAAGUUUUAACCAAAAUUAUGCCAGGCUCAUUUUGGCAGUUAGAUAUAAACCCAGCAUUAACAAGCCACACGCCAAAAGAUGUUACUCCCAAGGCCUCAGAGAAAAUGGGUAAACAAGGGCCCACAUCUCAAAUAAAGCUUCAACUUCCCAAUUUUGCCAGUUGCCAUCUCAUUUGUUUUCUCACGCUGGCAUUUUUGGUUGCGAUGGAGUAGGAACCUCUUUCAUUAACUCUGCUGGCAGAGGUGUCUCGCUGUAGGCUCACCUUCUCUGCCUUAACAUGAAUCUGGUUGGAUAUGGCCUUUGUCACCUCCCCCUUCUCAACAGAUCUGUGAUGUGCCAUCCUGAGGAGGGGCCUAGGUGAUCUGAGCUAAGCAGGCAGGGAGGGGCAGGUUGGAUUUUCCACCCACUCCCUAAUCAGUUGAUGGGCGAUGGCUAACUUAGGGGGCAACCAGAAUGGGAAAGUCCCAUCCUGUUGCUGAGCAUAUGGGUGCUUCCUCUUCAGGGCUGCGAGCACCUCCUCAUGGCUAAACCAGGCAGCUGCUUCUAGCUCUUUCAAGUUCACCUGGAUCUGAAAGACAUAAGGAAAAACAGAAUGUAAGAUUGGGAGCUACGAAAGUUAGAAUUCUAUAGCUAAAGGUGAGAAAACAGUUCUAGAACUGAGCAAUCUUAGAAGAUAAUACCUGGGAUCCAUAGGCUGGGAACAAAUCAAUUCUAGAUAUUGCCCAGAAGCAAAAGAGGCACAUGUAAGAGAUGAGAGUUAAAUAUAUUUUUAAUAGUAAAAACCUAGAAAUACAAAUACUAAAAUAUUAAGAGUGAGUAGCAUAGAGGGGUUGAUUAUGAAUAAUAGUUGUUUUGCUUUGUGCCUCUAUUGCUCAUAUAAACAUACAAAUGUUUUUCUUCUUUAAAAGGUAAAGGUUAAUUAAUGAUCAUCAAAAUCAUUGUAUCUUCUUUGCAAGGAGCAAAGUAGUACAAACUGAAUCUACAGGAAGGUGAGGCAGAUUAGAUAGUAUUCAUUCCAUAGAAACCAAAACACAAUAGACGGAUUUUGGUAGAUAGGGACCACAAUGCCAUCUGUAAGGGAUGCUAUAGAAGAUGAGGUUGGAUAAGACAAUCUCUAAGUCCCUUUCAACUAGAAGUUCCUAUAAUCAUUAUUAUUAUGGAAUUGAUAAUAAUUAUCAAUAAUUAUCAGUGCUCAACAUCCUGACUGACUUGAGCAAUAAGAUCAACCUUGACAUCAAUAAUUAAAUUUGAUAUAUGAUUUGCCUAAUCUAUGCGAGAUGCUCUGUUAAGUCCUGAUGAUGAAAGGUAAGUUGUCUCGUGAUUGAGAUUUGUACAAGGAAGAAUGAUGACCAUGUUGGCACUCCCAGUUUUUGUGGUAAUUCUUUUCUCUACAAGAUUGAAAAUUCCUUAAAGAUAUAAAUCAUUUCUUACACACAUUUGUACAAUCGAGACAAUGCUGGACUAGGCAGAUGCUUAGUAAGUACCUACUGACAAGCUUAGAUGAGGCAAGGGAAUGUCAGAGCAUAAGGGACGCAGCACUUACCUCUGUCUGCCCUGGUUUCACAAUUGCGUGACAAGCAAUCAUGAGUGAGCUAUUGGGGAAGGGCCAGUGCUGGGAUGCAGAGUACUGCAGUCUUUCCACCUCCAGUCCCACCUCUUCUGCAACUUCUCGAUGGACAGUCUCUUCCAGAGUUUCACCUACAAGCACUCAGAUUAAUUCAGGACAGCCCUGCAGCAGGAGGGGUGAUACAGACGCCCAUUUGUGAAAGAGCACAAAAUGGGCUCCGUAGCUUCAAUGAAAAGACUCUUGGGAGAGCCUAAAAUCUCUGAGUCUCUACAACAUUAGAAAUCAAGUCUAAAGUUGGGUGUUGAACUGCGAUACUUAAACCUACUAGGGUAGUUAUAAUACAAAAUAGGAGUGGCAGUGGGAGUGGUUACUGCUGUCGUCAGUUUUAAUAAAAUUCUAAUGUGACAUACCGCCAUUUUCGAAUUUUACCCCAAUAGGCUGAGAAAACACACCUGUAAAUAAAUAUUAAUUCUAGUUAAUAUUAUGCAUGUUGAAAUAUUUAGGGAGUGGUGAGUGUAUGGGUUUUCACUGAUUAGUUCUUUCAACUAUGCUGCACGUGUGAAAGUUUGCCUGUAAAAUAUGGAAAAUUAUAACGCCAGGGGCCGUUUUCUUGACAGGGAAGAAGGUGCUUGAGGCUCCAAGCACUAUGACAGCAACACAGAGAAAUAACUACCAUCGAUAUGCUGUCGUGUCUCUAAGUCCUUACCUAUGUCACAGAAACCUGCCAGGGCAGAGUACAUCCCCUGGGGAAAGGAACUCUGGCGGGCAAGCAAGCAUCGAGUCCCAUCCGACACCAGAGUGAUCACCACGGGAGCCAUCUAGGAAAGGGGGUGGCAGCUUAGACACCGGGCUAUGGAGCCUGUAAGUAGGAUGACGAGUGAAUCCCUGAGGAAAGCCUGUACAGGCUCCCAUCCCCAGCACAGCCUGGAGAGCUUCUUGGAUGAUUCCUGUCCCUCCAGAGCCGUCCUUACCUGCGGGUAAUAGAUGAUCUUGUUGGAAGGGCACACACGCUUGCUGCCAGCCACGUUCUUUUUGGUGGGCUGCCCGCUUCUGCUGCAGAACUGGUGAGCAUCGUGCCAGCGGAGGAGAGCCUGCGCCUAGGAAUGCAAGGUGCACUUGGUUUCGUGUGAGAGCGCCGGCUCAUCUGGGACAGUGCUGGGCUCGGAGGGAAAUGCCAGUGCCUUUUCAGUCCCUCUAUUUUAAAUGGUUUAUUACUGUCUAACCUUUAAAAUAAGGAAGCUAUUGAACAUAUUCCUCCAUCAUCUGAAGCGUGGAUAAAAGUGUAGGCCAAGUAUAUUAUGAAUUAUUUAAAAAAUACGUGAUAUAUAAAGUAUUAAACACCCCUUGUACUUAUGGCCCAGCUUAAAAAUAAGACACUUUCAAUAAAGUUUAACAUUCCAA